This 24-nucleotide non-coding RNA is filed under the name Mus musculus (house mouse). Lineage: Eukaryota; Metazoa; Chordata; Mammalia; Rodentia; Muridae. The record is from RNAcentral.
UCCCGAUUCGUGUGUGCUCACCCA